CCGGAUGCCAACACACCAGGCAAAACAGUUAACCGCAAAGAAGAAUCAGGGAUUCGUCGAUUGUCUGGCUGAAAUUGAAAAUUAUUUUCCCGCUUAUAGGUUUUCGUGGUUAAGUGGCUACAGAAGUUAAAUAGAAACUCGAUCGCAAUUCGGGGCGGAAAAUUAAACGGGUUUGAAGCAACUCUUUUUAUCUUGAUUGACGUGCAUCAAAUUGAUAUAUACCGUUAGCCUGGAAUAUACAAUUCAGUUAAUGGAACAAUCAAAUUUUUAAUUAUCUCUAAAGCUUCUGAACGUAUCUAUGUAUAGGGGACUUGUCUAAAACGGAUACAAGAAAGGAGACGGUACCUUCGAAAACGUAGUCUCCUCACGAUCAGACCAGUUCUUUAAGACAUGAUCAUCGGCUGCUUCGGAUUAAUCCCUUCUCUUGUGAUAUCCCUCCUUACUUCUCAGUAAAACGGACGACGCGUCUGAAAGCAGACGAUACCUACCUCCUUCCUUGCACCUUCCACCUCCUUGGCCUGAAUCCUUACGGAGCUUGGCGUAGAUUAACUUUUGAUACGAGACCUCGCAGUUUCCGCUGGAACCUCGAUUCAUACGCGCAUGCUGGGAGACGUCGUGUGUUUUUGAUUAUCAAAUUUCUAUUAGUGACAGUGAAUUACUUGUGAAACGAGCAACUUCACAGUCUAGCCAGCUGCAGCCUGAAGGAGCAGCCCGGAGAACAAAAGGAUCAAGAGGGAAACUGAAGUACAGAAGGGGAAAUAAACGAGCAAACGAUAGAAAGGAACUACAGAUAACCGGAAAUGCGUUCUGUAACAGCAACUGCAGUUUUGAGCUUGUGCAUCCUCUGUAUCCUUACUUAUCCGACCAUCGGCAUGAGCAGGAUUCUAAAUUCGGACUUCGUCUACUUUCCCGACCAAGCAGAAUACGUGAAGCUCUCUUCGAAAUGUCCUGAUAACACGAUCCUGUGGCCUGGGACCCGUCGGUGUUACAGAGAAGGCGAACAAGGUCCCUGCAAUAUCGGCAGAAUUCUAGUUCUGGAUCGAAAACUUUUGAAACCAUACUGCAAAGAUACGGUGCUGAAGUGAAUAACUCUUCUAUUAUCGAUUGCGUGCAAUUUUACUAGAGAUGGCAGCAGGGAUCCACAAUGAUUUAUCUAAUACUCACUGUUAAUCAAAAAAUUACUUAAUUUAUGAUUAGUAUUUAAUUAUAAAAUGAAGAAUUGAUUUAAGUAAUGAAAUAGAAAUUUUAAUUUCAUUUAUUCUUAUUUUAUUGAAAAAGAAGAAGUAGUUAGUUAAUUUUGUGAUUAGAGAAAAGCUGUUGAAUUUGGUCCACUUAAGCCUUAGAUUGAUGACUAGUUUCUUUUAAUUUUAUAAUAUUGAAACUAGAGAAAUAAUAGUUAUUUUUUAUAUCAUUAAAAUGAUGUAACUCUCUUUUCUAAAAAUAUUAUAUAGUUAGAAAGGAAGAGAAGAAAUUUAUAGAUUGGUUCAUCAGUCCAAUUAAAGCAAUUUGUUCUUCAAGACGGACUUCGGAUUUCUUAAGGUGAACCAAUUAUUUUAUUCAUAGAAAUCAAUAAUUGUCUUAGGAGCAAGUGUAGUAAUUGCAACAUAUUUCGUGAUUCAAAAAUAGUAACUAAAUUAAAGUUAUGAAAACAAUCAAAAAGGAUUUAUAAUUAAAUUUUUAUUGUGAAAUUUAACAUUCUUGAUUAAUAAAAGAGCAAAUAAGAAAUUAAAAAGCUAUUUCUUUUAUAAAAUUCACCAGAAUCUGCGUUAACCUCGUACUUAAAUUAAAAUCGUUAGAUAUUUAUUAAUUUCGUAGAGAUGAAUUAAGUAUUCAUCAAUCGAAGUGAUAAAUUGCGAGAUCCCUUGGAUGAUUGCUGAAAGACUGAGGCUGUGUAAUGGUUCUAAAGCUAACAACAAUUUGUAGCAUUUUUAUUUUUAAGUAGGGAAUAAAUGUUAUUACCUCAAGUCAUGAGUUUGUGGUAUUUUGACAGUCGUAUAAUCACAGCUUUCAUGAGUUCUAUAAUUCGUGUAAUUUUACAUUCCUUUAAAUAUGUAAAUCUUAAUUCGAAUAAUACAAUGCAAUGAUAGUAUGAAUUUUCUCGUUCAACUAGAAAUUCUUCAUAGAUAGUGCACCUCUGCACAGUUAUAACAAAAUAGCAUAAUGACUGUGCAAAUAGAAGUUGUUUAGCUAAUUGUUAACAAUAAUGCUCAUAUGAUGUAUAUGAAUACUAAUCCUGUAAAAAUAUAAUUUUGUAAAGCA
Molecule: long non-coding RNA, 2259 nt
Organism: Osmia bicornis bicornis
Lineage: Eukaryota; Metazoa; Arthropoda; Insecta; Hymenoptera; Megachilidae
Exons: 3
Source: RefSeq, a predicted model, not a curated record